This 802-nucleotide ribosomal RNA is filed under the name uncultured bacterium. RNAcentral's name for it is "bacterial SSU rRNA". It matches the Rfam family "Bacterial small subunit ribosomal RNA", at positions 20 to 799 of the family's 1533-position model. The record is from RNAcentral.
UGGCUCAGGAUUAACGCCGGCGGCAUGCCUAAUACAUGCAAGUCGAACGAAAAAUAUAUAGAUGCUUGCAUUUAGAUAUUUUUAGUGGCGAACGGGUGAGUAAUAUAUAGAUAACCUACCUUUAAGUUGGGGAUAACAGAGGGAAACUUUUGCUAAUACCGAAUAAAAUAAUUAGACGCAUGUUUAAUUAUUAAAAGGGGCUUCAAAGCCCCGCUCUAAGAGGGGUCUAUAUCGCAUUAGCUAGUUGGUAAGAUAACAGCCUACCAAGGCUAUGAUGCGUAGCUGUACUGAGAGGUAGAACAGCCACAUUGGGACUGAGAUACGGCCCAAACUCCUACGGGAGGUAGCAGUAGGGAAUUUUCGGCAAUGGGGGGAACCCUGACCGAGCAAUGCCGCGUGAUUGAAGAAGAUCUUCGGAUCGUAAAGAUCUGUUAUUAGGGAAGAAUGGAAUUGAUAGGAAAUGAUCAAUUUAUGACGGUGCCUAAUGAGGAAGCCCCGGCUAACUAUGUGCCAGCAGCCGCGGUAAUACAUAGGGGGCGAGCGUUAUCCGGAAUUAUUGGGCGUAAAGGGUACGUAGGCGGGCCUGCAAGUCUGAUUUGAAAGCACACGGCUUAACCGUGUGAGGUAAUUAGAAACUACAGGUCUAGAGAGUGGUAGAGGUAAAUGGAAUUCCAAGUGGAGCGGUGAAAUGCGUAGAGAUUUGGAGGAACACCAGUGGCGAAGGCGGUUUACUGGGCCACAUCUGACGCUGAUGUACGAAAGCGUGGGGAGCAAACAGGAUUAGAUACCCUGGUAGUCCACG